This is a long non-coding RNA of Corapipo altera (White-ruffed manakin), 3130 nucleotides long. RefSeq lists it as uncharacterized. Lineage: Eukaryota; Metazoa; Chordata; Aves; Passeriformes; Pipridae. The transcript has 3 exons. The record is from RefSeq and is a predicted model, not a curated record.
GCAGAGCGUCCAGCGGGGGCGGGGGGAGGGGGCCGCCCGCUUCCGCCUCUGCCAGGAGCGCUCCGGUCGCUCAGUCGCGCUCCCCACGGCGCUCAGUCAGGCGAAGCCCUAAUGGGUCAUAACGGGGCUUUCGUCGGGACGUGAUCGUCCACCCCUGCCCGGGCCGAGCUCUGCGUGCUCGGACGUCUCUAGCGCAGGAAAACAAAAGCGUGUUCGGUGAGAAGUAGCAGCUGUGUAGCGGUUUUGAGGCAAUAAAUACGGCUGAUCUCUGUCUAAACUCCCGUCUAAGCCCUGCUUAGGAGGCUUAAGAGCUGUCUGUGAGGAUGGCGAGGUAAAGCCUCGAGCCUCGCUAAUGCCCCUGGCAGAGCACAAGCAGCUCGCUCCGGGGCUGCAGGUCACGGGUGACACGGUGGCACCAGGCCUGUCCUGCAAGGCAGCGCUCAGCGUGGGUGCAAAGGACUGCUGCUCUGCCCCAGCUAAAAUGGGCUCCCUGGCUGGGGCUGUUGCUGAGAGGGCUUGGGUACAGAAUGUAAACUGACACCUCUGUUAGCACAGCAAACCAGUGAUCAGUAUCCAUGCCAGAAUUUCAGGUGCAAAUGGAGUAGUUUCCAUGGACCUGUUACAAGCCAUGCACUACAGACUCAAUCCAUGGACUGCAAGUUAGCAUUUGGCAUUGUACUAAAGCUCCCAGUCUGUUCUGCAGUGGGGGCCAAGCUUCAUGGAAAAUCCUCCCUCAUGCUUGUGUCUACAUAUCUACCAUCCUAUUAAAGAUAUAUUGCUAUUUUUAGUAGAAUAUAAUUUAAAAUGAGAUACAAAAUAUAUAUUAAAAAAAUUGUAAAAUUCUAAAGCUACAUUGUCAGCACUGAAAGUAUUUCUGAUAUUUGAAUUAUCUUUUAAUUCUUAUUAUACAUUUUCCAAUCUUCCAGAAAACCUUAGUGUUGUUUUAACUGCCUUUUCAAUUGAAAUGGUCUUUUAAUUGGCUGGAAAUAUAUCCUAAGUUUGAUUCUGUUCCAAACACUUGUUCAGCAAAACAACUGAUGAUUACCCAUUUCUGGAACUGAGUUUAUUACAAGAAAAACAUCAAUGAACCCUCUGUGGAAUUUUUCAAGAUUUUUGGAGAUGAAAUGCAAUAUCAUCUUUGUAGUACAGAGUGAGCAGAUAUUCUAGUCCCAGAUUUGUUACCAUCUUUGCAGUGUAACUUUGGACAAGUCACUAAAUUUUUGCUGCCUGUUUUUUUGCUUUGUAAAAGAAGCUAAUAUUAACAUGCCAUCAAAUAAUUUAACAAGUUUGAGUGAAUGCUUGCAAAGUACUCUGAGAAAGUCAGAUGGAAAAUGUUAUGAAAGUCCAUGCCUCUGCUAGCCAAAGAGGAUAUUUACAGUAGAUUCUUAUUCUAUGUAGCAAAAUAAAAAUGUUGAAGUAUAUAGCCAGAUGAGACCAAGAUGGAUCUAAAAUUAAAUGCAGGAGGAUUUUUUUUUACCUUUCAACAGAAAUUAUAUAACCACUCUUAGGUUAUAAAUAGUCCUUUGUUUUACUUCUCUUUGUCUAACACUCAGAAGAAACACAGGGUUAGUUGUUUGUUAUGAAGAUACAGUGCAAUGCUUUAGAGUGGAAACAAUUGUGCACUGUUCUUUAUUUAUGCAGUUCCUCUAAUGUUUGUAAGUACCAUUUGUUGCAUUGCUUAGCACUUUUUUUAUCUUCAAAAAGCUACAGAAAUAAAGUUUCUAGUUUUGGAAAUUACAACAGCAGAAGAAAACAAAACCACACACCAGUCCAUUUCAAGCCUGAAUGUUUCUUUCUUCUUUCCUGGUUUGAUAUGUGACUGAAGAACAAAAAAGUCCUAAACUCUUGUCAAACUGACACAUAAACACUCAUAUAUUAUUUCCUAUUUUUAUUAUUAAUCCUAAGAAAUAACAUAUUAAAUGUGUCCCCCUUUAAAUUAAAGUAUUUAUAUUAGCAUUAAGGAAAACAAUACUGAAUUCUUCACAGAAUGAUGUGUGUUUACAAAUAUUUCCUUCAACAACCAGUAAGUGCUUAACUAGUAGCAGUUUCAUUUCUUGUUAAAAAAAAACACUUUAACAAACAGAAAUGACCUGAAAAUUUACUCUGAAGUCAAGUAAUUGGCAUUAGUCAGAAAGCAGAAUGAUAAGAAUACCACCUUUUCCUUACUUUUUUUUUUCUUACUUUGUAUGAUUUCUCUCGUGUUCAUAUUAUGGAAAUAAUAUCCUUGACCUUUAGAUACAUGUGACACAAAUGGCUUUAUUAGACACUGCAUUUUGUUUCAUUUAAAUUUUUAAUCACCUUUCAAACCCAUUCAUUUGCUCCAUAACUUUCCACUGAGAGCAAGUGUGAUUCUCUACAGUAAAUUGGAAUAAAUUGGCUGCAAGCAAAGAAUACAUGAUUAGGCUUCAGAAAUAAAAGGAAUCACAGUUUAAAACCCAGGUACAUUGCAGUACUGUCCAAUCUCUGCAGGCUAUUUAGAAAUGCCUGGAGACAGAUCAAGCCUUGAUUGCUUCAGAACUGAGGCCAAAGGUGACCAGUCCUGAAGUGACACUUCAGUUUAAGUCCCAUUUCCCACAGCUAUGCUGAGAAAACCUGUCAUAUUACAUGUAAUCCAACCCUUUGACUUUAAGCAAAUUAAACACUUGGGAUCAAACACAUAUGAUGUAAAAUUAUUAAUUUAACAGAUUAUACCAAAGAUUGGGUUUUUUCUCAGCACUAUGUUAUUUGAUGGCUCUUUCGUGUAGUGGUUUGUGGAUUUAUGUAGCAGUUUAGUGGUCCUGAUGACUUCACUCUAUUAAGUCUGAAAAUCUUUCUCCAUUCUGUAUUUCAUAUGUCUGUAGUGAUUUAAUGUAACUAAUCCAGCUUACUGAGGAAAGAAAGUUCUCUCUCCAUGACAACUGACUGCAUUUUGGGUUUCUUUGCUGAAGCUGUCAACAGGAGACCAACUAAUGCCAAAUUUGAUACCAUUUCUAUAAAGUAGGCACCUGUCCACAAGGAGCUGGAUUGGGGCCACUUACCUAAAGUUGUUCUAGGGCAGGAAUUUAUCUUUAGAUGCUACUGCUGAUGCCAGAUUUUUAUUAGUAAUCUUCUAAUUAGUAAGACCUUCUCUUGAAAUAAAAAUAAAAUCACU